UGAGGAAUAUUGGUCAAUGGGCGCAAGCCUGAACCAGCCAUGCCGCGUGCAGGAUGACGGCCCUAUGGGUUGUAAACUGCUUUUAUUAGGAAAGAAACCCCCGAUCGUGAUCGGGGUUGACGGUACCUAAGGAAUAAGGAUCGGCUAACUCCGUGCCAGCAGCCGCGGUAAUACGGAGGAUCCUAGCGUUAUCCGGAUUUAUUGGGUUUAAAGGGUGCGUAGGCGGAAUAAUAAGUCAGUGGUGAAAUCUUCCGGCUCAACUGGGAAACUGCCAUUGAUACUGUUGUUCUUGAGUAUAUUUGAGGUGGGUGGAAUGUGUCAUGUAGCGGUGAAAUGCUUAGAUAUGACACAGAACGCCAAUUGCGUAGGCAGCUCACUAAACUAUAACUGACGCUGAGGC
RNAcentral lists this ribosomal RNA (400 nucleotides) under uncultured bacterium. RNAcentral's name for it is "bacterial SSU rRNA". It matches the Rfam family "Bacterial small subunit ribosomal RNA", at positions 355 to 752 of the family's 1533-position model. The record is from RNAcentral.